RNAcentral lists this ribosomal RNA (373 nucleotides) under uncultured prokaryote. RNAcentral describes it as "bacterial SSU rRNA". It matches the Rfam family "Bacterial small subunit ribosomal RNA", at positions 524 to 896 of the family's 1533-position model. The record is from RNAcentral.
UACGUAGGGGGCGAGCGUUAUCCGGAUUUACUGGGCAUAAAGCGCAUGUAGGCGGCGACUUAAGUCAGAUGUUAAAUCCCUCAGCUCAACUGAGGUCCGCAUCUGAAACUGAGUUGCUAGAGGUCAGGAGAGGAAAGCGGAACUCACGGUGUAGCGGUGAAAUGCGUAGAUAUCGUGAGGAACACCAGUUGCGAAGGCGGCUUUCUGGACUGAAUCUGACGCUGAGAUGCGAAAGCGUGGGGAGCAAACGGGAUUAGAUACCCCGGUAGUCCACGCCGUAAACUGUGUUCACUAGGUGUUGGAGGUAUCGACCCCUUCAGUGCCACAGAUAAUUCGUUAAGUGAACCGCCUGGGAAGUACGACCGCAAGGUUA